CAAGUCGAACGAAGCUAGUCCUUGUAGCAAUACCGGGGCUAGACUGAGUGGCGAAAGGGGCAGUAAGGCGUGGGUAACCUACCCUGGGGAUGAGAAUAGCCGUUCUAACGGACGGGUAAUACUCAGCGACGUAGCGAGAUGGCAUCAUUUUGCUACCAAAUGAAUUUCGCCCUGGGAGGGGCUCACGUGGUAUUAGCUAGUUGGUGGGGUAAUGGCCUACCAAGGCAAAGAUGCCUAGCGGGUGUGAGAGCACGACCCGCGCCACUGGCACUGAGACACUGGCCAGACUCCUACGGGAGGCUGCAGUCGAGGAUCUUCGGCAAUGGGCGCAAGCCUGACCGAGCGACGCCGCGUGUGCGAUGAAGGCCUUCGGGUUGUAAAGCACUGUCGAGGGGGAGGAAGCCGCAAGGUUGACCUAUCCCUGGAGGAAGCACGGGCUAAGUUCGUGCCAGCAGCCGCGGUAAGACGAACCGUGCGAACGUUGUUCGGAAUCACUGGGCUUAAAGGGCGCGUAGGCGGCUGAUCAAGUCAGGGGUGAAAUCUUUCGGCUCAACCGGAAAAGUGCCUUUGAUACUGGUCAGCUCGAGGGAGGUAGGGGCAUGUGGAACUUCCGGUGGAGCGGUGAAAUGCGUUGAUAUCGGAAGGAACACCGGUGGCGAAAGCGACGUGCUGGCCCUCUUCUGACGCUGAGGCGCGAAAGCUAGGGGAGCGAGCGGGAUUAGAUACCCCGGUAGUCCUAGCCCUAAACGAUGGGUACUAGGUAGUGGACUUAACAUGGGUUCACUGCCGAAGCAAAAGUGUUAAGUACCCCGCCUGGGGA
Molecule: ribosomal RNA, 820 nt
Filed under: uncultured Planctomycetota bacterium
Lineage: Bacteria; Pseudomonadati; Planctomycetota
Description: bacterial SSU rRNA
Rfam family: Bacterial small subunit ribosomal RNA
Source: RNAcentral